AUCGCUCCUUGAAAAAAUAUUAAUAAAGAGUACUGCCUGCCCAGUGACAAAAGUUAAACGGCCGCGGUAUUUUGACCGUGCAAAGGUAGCAUAAUCAUUUGUUCUUUAAUUGAGGACUAGAAUGAAUGGCAACACGAAAACUUAACUGUCUCCUUCUUAAAAAAAGAAAUUAAUAUUUUUGUGAAGAAACGAAAAUAAAAAUGCAAGACGAGAAGACCCUGUCGAGCUUAAGAAAAUUUUUAUAAAAAAAUAUAAUAGUUAAUUAUAAACUUUUACUAAAAAAUUGAAAUAAAAAUAUCUUUGGUUGGGGCAACCACGAAGAAAAAAAAACCUUCGUUCUAAAAAAAAAUUUACUAAUUAAAAACUUUUGAAAAGAAACGAAGAUCCAGACUAUGCUGAUCAGAGAAAAAAGUUACCGCAGGGAUAACAGCGUUAUUCUCUUUAAGAGCUCUUAUUGACAAGAGAGUUUGCGACCUCGAUGUUGGACCGGGGCAACCUAGAGGUGUAGCAGCCUCUAAAGGUAGGUCUGUUCGACCUUUAAAGCCCUACGUGAU
Molecule: ribosomal RNA, 554 nt
Filed under: Petasometra clarae
Lineage: Eukaryota; Metazoa; Echinodermata; Crinoidea; Comatulida; Colobometridae
Description: partial large subunit ribosomal RNA
Rfam family: Bacterial large subunit ribosomal RNA
Source: RNAcentral